UCUGGCUUAUAGCCCAGCGGUCUCGUUAGAGUGCCCAACUUAAUGAUGGUAACUAACGACAAGGGUUGCGCUCGUUGCGGGACUUAACCCAACAUCUCACAACACGAGCUGACGACAGCCAUGCAGCACCUGUCACCGCGUCUCCGAAGAGAACCCCUAGUUUCCUAGGGUAGCGCGGGAUGUCAAGCCUGGGUAAGGUUUUUCGCGUAGCAUCGAAUUAAACCACAUGCUCCACCGCUUGUGCGGGCCCCCGUCAAUUCCUUUGAGUUUUAAUCUUGCGACCGUACUUCCCAGGCGGGAUACUUAAUGCGUUAGCUUCGUUACCGAGACAAUUAGGUAUCCCGACAACUAGUAUCCAUCGUUUAGGGCGUGGACUAC
Molecule: unclassified non-coding RNA, 378 nt
Filed under: uncultured delta proteobacterium
Lineage: Bacteria; Deltaproteobacteria
Description: contains 16S-23S intergenic spacer region
Source: RNAcentral